CUUGGUCAUUUAGAGGAAGUAAAAGUCGUAACAAGGUUUCCGUAGGUGAACCUGCGGAAGGAUCAUUAUCGAAUCGUAGGCGAGGGUUGUCGCUGGCCUCUCGGGGCAUGUGCACGCCCGAGCCCUUGAAUCCCAAACACCACAUGUGAACCCACCGUAGGCCUUCGGGCCUAUGUCUUAUCAUAUAAUCUGAAUGUCUAAUAGAAUGUAAACCCAUUUCGUUGCCUUGAAAACGUAACGAAAGAAAACUAUACAACUUUCAACAACGGAUCUCUUGGCUCUCGCAUCGAUGAAGAACGCAGCGAAAUGCGAUAAGUAAUGUGAAUUGCAGAUUUUCAGUGAAUCAUCGAAUCUUUGAACGCACCUUGCGCCCCUUGGUAUUCCGAGGGGCAUGCCUGUUUGAGUGUCAUUAAAUCCUCAACCCCUCCGAUUCGUUUCGGUGGGGAUUGGACUUGGAGCGUGCUGGCGAAGGUCGGCUCCUCUUUAAAUGCAUCAGCGGAGAAAAUGCCUUUUGCGCCUCUGGCCGUUCAGCGUGAUAAUGAUGUUGCGCUGCGGUCGAGCUUAAGGUCCGCUUCCAAAGGUCCUCGGACAAAUAUACAUAUGACUUUUNGACCUCAAAUCAGGUAGGACUACCCGCUGAACUUAAGCAUAUCAAUAAGCGGAG
This 664-nucleotide ribosomal RNA is filed under the name uncultured fungus. Its description in RNAcentral is "eukaryotic LSU rRNA". The stretch from base 255 to 409 matches the Rfam family "5.8S ribosomal RNA". The record is from RNAcentral. Lineage: Eukaryota; Fungi.